RNAcentral lists this ribosomal RNA (500 nucleotides) under uncultured bacterium. RNAcentral's name for it is "partial 16S ribosomal RNA". It matches the Rfam family "Bacterial small subunit ribosomal RNA", at positions 30 to 523 of the family's 1533-position model. The record is from RNAcentral.
AUUGAACGCUGGCGGCAUGCUUUACACAUGCAAGUCGAACGGUAACAGGGUGCUUGCACCGCUGACGAGUGGCGAACGGGUGAGUAAUGCGUCGGAACGUGCCGAGUAGUGGGGGAUAACGCAGCGAAAGUUGUGCUAAUACCGCAUACGUACUGAGGUAGAAAGUGGGGGACCUUCGGGCCUCACGCUAUUCGAGCGGCCGACGUCUGAUUAGCUAGUAGGUGAGGUAAAGGCUCACAUAGGCGACGAUAAGUAGCGGGUCUGAGGGGAUGGUCCGCCAAACUGGGACUGAGAACCGGCCCAGACUCCUACGGGAGGAAGCAGUGGGGAAUUUGGGACAAUGGGCGAAAGCCUGAUCCAGCCAUGCCUCGUGUCUGAAGAAGGCCUUCGGUUUGUAAAGGACUUUUGUCAGGGAGGAAAUCCCUAGUGCUAAUAACACUGGGGGAUGACAGUACCUGAAGAAUAAGCACCGGCUAACUACGUGCCAGCAGCCGCCGUAA